Molecule: transfer RNA, 72 nt
Filed under: Centruroides sculpturatus (bark scorpion)
Lineage: Eukaryota; Metazoa; Arthropoda; Arachnida; Scorpiones; Buthidae
Description: tRNA-His
Rfam family: tRNA
About the family: Transfer RNA (tRNA) molecules are approximately 80 nucleotides in length. Their secondary structure includes four short double-helical elements and three loops (D, anti-codon, and T loops). Further hydrogen bonds mediate the characteristic L-shaped molecular structure. tRNAs have two regions of fundamental functional importance: the anti-codon, which is responsible for specific mRNA codon recognition, and the 3' end, to which the tRNAs corresponding amino acid is attached (by aminoacyl-tRNA synthetases). tRNAs cope with the degeneracy of the genetic code in two manners: having more than one tRNA (with a specific anti-codon) for a particular amino acid; and 'wobble' base-pairing, i.e. permitting non-standard base-pairing at the 3rd anti-codon position.
Source: RNAcentral
GCCGUGAUCGUCUAGUGGUUAGGACAUUGCGUUGUGGCUGCAAUAACCCAGGUUCAAAUCCUGGUCACGGCA